ACUCAGAAGUGUGUCUCAAGAUUCUUUCAGAAAAAAUAUCUGAUAAAACUCAACAAUUCUGUAUUGAAGUGCCUGACUUACUUCUAGUCCUGAUGAAUUUUGGUACUGUUCAAAGCAACUUUUGGCCUGUGGCUUUGGACAUUUCUUUUCCUUUUCCAUUUCUCCGCCCAUUCCGGAAAUUUUCCAUGAACAGUUUCGAUUCGGAAAAACAUCAUGUCCCUUUCCCUCGCUUGAAUUUGGAGAAAAUAUUGUCUCUCUUGAGUUUCAAUGUGAAAACAUAUCCCUAUUUUUCCGAGAACGAGAAAAUUGGAAUGUGCAACCUCUUGCUAAACCUUUACAUGGCCAAUUUUAUAGCUGGAGACACUUUUCUAACUCUCAAAAUCAGAGACAUUAUAUCACGUAUACUUGAAAGUUUUACAGUAGAGGAAUGGAGUGAACUUAAUUUCAAAAUGUAUUGAAGAACUUAUUUUGCAGUGUUGGAUUGAGAACCUGUAACCUACAGCGAUGGUUCAACGAAUUACGUACAGUAUAUACCAACAACUACAAGCAGUGGAGCAACUACAAGCUGUCGGUUCAUCAGCGAUGGACUCGAGUAAACGACGAGCAAUGGUCGUUUGCCGAAGGGCUUCUUCCGCCAAGGCAAGAAAUUGACUCAUCUUCAUCAGGUUUAUUGCAGCAACUUGAGAGAAUUCACUUGAAAAGAUGCAGGGCACAUACUAACAUGUGUUGUAUUUUUCUGAAUUAUGUUUUGAUUGAGCAGUAGAUAGCAAUUAACUUUAGUUUAUUGCAUUAAUGUUGGAAGGUUUAUUGAAAUAUUUCCUUUAGAUUCAACAUGACUGUUCGAUGACAAAGUUAGUUGGAAACCUAACUCAAAUACCGAUAACCUUUGCUGCAGCUGCCUUACAGCCACAAGCAGGAAAAUUAUUCUUUUCCUCAGAAAGUUGUUUUAUUUUUUGUCCUGAAUCCCCUAUACUUUCUUUUAAUAUUAGAGAUUUUUAUGUUGAAUAAGUUAACGAAAGUUUGAAAUUGCUAACUAAAUCAUUUGUAUGAUGUGUCAUAGGGAAAGCUGCUGGAGUAAUCUAGUGUUCAUCCUCUUGAUUCAUUUCGUGUCAGCUAGCAGCUAGUGAAAGGCGUAACGAUUCGAGUUGAGCUGCUGCCGCUGCGUGCUGUCUGCAAGAACGCAUCAAAUUAGCUGUCGCUAGGUGGCUUAAAAUGAUUUCCACUAGGUUGCGCGAGUGUCUUCACUCUUCAGGGAUAAAUGUGUUAUGGUCGUGACGUUUCUCAUGAUGAAAAUGAAAAGGUCCAAUGCAACAUUAAAAAUGUCAUUCUUUUGGACUGCAUAGUGUUGUCUUACUCCUGGUAUUCUAUGGUCAUAAUGAGUCCUGCAUGUAAUUGUGUACACACUGUGUUUCCUGAUGGUAAUCUUAAUAUUUUCUUAAAUAGGUCCGCUGCUGGUUACUUUGUUGCAGACAGCUGGGGAUAGGUGUUCCUUUUGCAGGUGUGCUACUGGUACUGGUAGUAAUUUUCGUCAUGUACAGAAACAAUUCUUAAGCAGGAUGUUGAAGAUCUUUCCUUUCUCCACGUGGUUGCUGACGUGUCAUGAAGAUGUGUUUUUGGGAGGGUCUCUACUAUAUUGCAAGACAAAAGUGUGAUGAAAACAGGAAAUCUGAAAUGGUGUCCAUCUUUCUUAAUAGCCCACAUUUCUACUUGACAGCUCUACCAAUGUGUUUAACAGCAUAAGAAGUUAAUCAAUGAUGCCAAGCUUCUAAGGACUUACAAACGAAAAUGUUUCUCAUUUCACAGUAAUGGUGAUCCCAAAGAAUAUGACCAUUGAAGAUUUAGUUCUCUAUGCAGAGACAAAACGAUAGUUGGCUGAAAACAAUUGGAUGUACAUGGCUAAUUUUAUCGUCAUAUAAAUAGGGUGGUGGACAUGUUACAAAAUUUUUCCACAAGAAUGCAGAAAACUUAUCAAAUCAAUUACUAGAUGACCUUUUUAUAUCUUCCUUUUUACUCCUAUCAUUUGGGUUUAAAUAGUGACGAACUGACAGGUGGAUGGUGGCAGCAUAUUUGAUACAGGGAUCCACUCUUUCUUAUAGGCUAAAGCAUCUGACAGAAGUUAUCCAAAAUAGGCAACUUGUGUGUAUUACGUUUCAGAUGGUUUCGAUUCCGACUAGUCCGGUGCAUCAGUGGGCCCUCUUCCGACAAACCCAGAUUAGUUUCAUUAUCAAUCAUGUUUUCGAAUUUUUUUUAGAAAAUGGCUAAUUGGUUUUUCUUUUGUGAACAUAUGUUGGUGGUGGACCGUAAAUUCCAGAAUCGGAUGAGAUUUCUGGCGAUGACAAUAGAACAGGAUGCAUAUUCGGAAGUCAUGGGCUGUCUGAUGGGCCCGCAACACGUCCAGCAGCCACAUUGAGACUCGGAAACGUUUGUCGGUUCUUCGUUGCCGACGUCGGCCGUCUUGACUGAGUUACAUCACGCUACCUGGACAAUUCCCGACUCUUCACUCGCUUCGACGACAACAAAGAAUUUUUUCCGGUUCCAAAGUUUAUUGUGUUUCGUCGGUGGACCACACAUUUUGAGUCAUCGUUAUUAUGAUGCAUUUGCCUAUAAUAGUGAAGCAGGAGCGAUAACUGGGAGCAGCUGCCGGAUGAUUCUGGAACCACGAACUUACUCUUCCGUUUGGUGUUCCGAUUCGCCAGUUAUUUGUUUGGUCGUUUGCAUCGCAACCGACUGAAACAUCACCGCAAUGAACCGAAACUAUGAGAUGCUAUUUUGUUGCCGGGAGUAAUCAAAGAUAUCCUAUCAGUGCUGGAUCGUGGAUAGAAUCAUUCGUUCGGCUGAAGAAUAUCUCGAUUCUUUCGAAUGACCUGGCCCAACAAUUCACAGAUAUCGCCGGGAUCAACUCGCUUAUUCAAUCCCGCCAUAUUGGGAUCCAGCAAAGAAAACUUUUACUCCUCAGCUGAAUGUUGUCCACCAUUCAACAACGGAUGCCACUGCUUCUAGUCAAUCUGCUGGACCGUGUUCCGGCAUGAAAGAUUCAUUUCAGAUUGUUUGAAAUUGCCAUGAACUUGUUUGUUUUUUGUUUGUUUUCUGCAAUUCGUCUUGUUGUGGAGCGUCUAGACUAGCAUAUCUGAGUAAGGGUCUAACAGUUUGCGUAUUGGCCCAGUCGAAGGUACUGGAGGAAGUCUGAUUGGUGGCGAUCGUGUGCCCGUUUUAGUGAUGGUUAGUUAGAGAACGCUGCCGUAAUUGUUGUCACAGAAGGAGUGAUUUAUGUCUCCGGCUCUUUUAGUUAAAUUUCGUGUCAGAAACAAAAAGGUUUUCCAUUCAGGGUUCCCCAUCUCUCAUACCGGUCUGUUACAGCAGUAGUCAACGGCGUACAAAGAAUUUUUUAUAUCAAGGUUUUUUUUCUCAUUUAAAUGCUGCAGUGCAUUAAUGUUAGUAUUUGUUUUUGUAAGAGUUGACUGGGGAAGUAUUGGGUUUGUACAUGCAUGGUGUUAUUUAUCAUAAGAAUACAAGAACAGACAUGGGAAACAUUGGGAGGUAAUAGAGGGGGGACAUGUGGAAGGAGUAGGAAAUGAACCUGGGGCCUUUCUUAUCAUCACUAGGGGCCGUAACCAUGACAGAGGUCCAUCAUCCAAUUUGAUAAAUCUCGAGAAUUUAAUCCGAUCCUUUAAAGGGCUGGCUAAGAAUGCUGUGGAAUUUUUCAAUUUAGGCAACACAGUAGGUAGCUAUUGGUUAUAGCUCAAAAUUGUCACGAGUUACGUGUUUGAAUCUUGUAGGACAAUGGAAGAAUAAGAGGGUAGGAAGUAGAAGUGCAGAGAAAUCAGAAAUCUUUGGAAUAGUCCAGUAAAAUGCGAAUGUAUAAGAAAAGAAACGUGGUAAGUUGCAAUUUUAUUUUUCAACGGGAUAUUUACAUCCAUCAGGAUGAUUCCAUUCAUAGUUGAAAUGUUUGGUUAGUAAUGUAACUAUAAUUGCGUAUUAUAGAGACGUUACAUAGUGUUUAAGGAUUGAUCCACCGUAGUGUUGGUAGUUUUAAAUGGUACACGCGAAUCUUUCAGUCUUCAUUCUGCAGUGUUGUGUUAGCAAUGGAGGAGUAGGGUUGUCGAAUUUGUGUUCUGGUCAUCCGUGUGGACAAUCGGUUUGACUGAGUGUGUGCUUGUCAAGGUUGUUUUAACUCUUACUUUUAUACGGCAGUAUAAAACUAAAUCAAUAAAUGUGUAAUUGAAAAUAACUUGUGCCUAGUUUGU
Long non-coding RNA from Daphnia pulex (common water flea), 4244 nucleotides. RefSeq lists it as uncharacterized. The transcript is spliced from 8 exons. The record is from RefSeq and is a predicted model, not a curated record. Lineage: Eukaryota; Metazoa; Arthropoda; Branchiopoda; Diplostraca; Daphniidae.